This 492-nucleotide ribosomal RNA is filed under the name uncultured bacterium. RNAcentral describes it as "partial 16S ribosomal RNA". It matches the Rfam family "Bacterial small subunit ribosomal RNA", at positions 29 to 507 of the family's 1533-position model. The record is from RNAcentral.
AGUGAACGCUGGCGGUAGGCCUAACACAUGCAAGUCGAACGGCAGCACAGUAAGAGCUUGCUCUUACGGGUGGCGAGUGGCGGACGGGUGAGGAAUACAUCGGAAUCUACUUUUUCGUGGGGGAUAACGUAGGGAAACUUACGCUCAUACCGCAUACGACCUACGGGUGAAAGCAGGGGAUCUUCGGACCUUGCGCGAUUGAAUGCGCCGAUGUCGGAUUAGCUAGUUGGCGGGGUAAAGGCCCACCAAGGCGACGAUCCGUAGCUGGACUGAGAGGAGGGUCAGCCACACGGGAACGUGGACACGGUCCAUGCUCCUACGGGAGGCAGCAGUGGGGAAUAUUGGACAAUGGGCGCAAGCCUGACCCAGCCAGACCGCGUGGGUGAAGAAGGCCUUCGGGUUGUAAAGACCUUUUGUUGGGAAAGAAAAGCAGCAGGUUAAGACCCCGCUGUUCUGACGGUACCCAAAGAAGAAGCACCGGCUAACUUCGUG